CGGCGGACGGGUAAGUAACGCGUGGGUAACCUACCCCAAAGUCCGGGAUAACAGCGGGAAACCGCUGCUAAUACCGGAUGCCUUUACCUUGGGGCAUCUUGAGGUAAAGAAAGGCAACGCUUUGGGAUGGGCCCGCGUCCCAUUAGCUAGUUGGUGAGGUAACGGCUCACCAAGGCGACGAUGGGUAGCCGGCCUGAGAGGGUGGACGGCCACACUGGGACUGAGACACGGCCCAGACUCCUACGGGAGGCAGCAGUAGGGAAUAUUGCGCAAUGGACGGAAGUCUGACGCAGCGACGCCGCGUGAGCGAUGAAGGUCUUCGGAUUGUAAAGCUCUGUCCUUGGGGAAGAAGGUCUUCGGACUUGACGGUACCCAAGAAGAAAGCCCCGGCUAACUACGUGCCAGCAGCCGCGGUAAUACGUAGGGGGCGAGCGUUGUCCGGAAUUACUGGGCGUA
RNAcentral lists this ribosomal RNA (456 nucleotides) under uncultured bacterium. Its description in RNAcentral is "bacterial SSU rRNA". It matches the Rfam family "Bacterial small subunit ribosomal RNA", at positions 96 to 562 of the family's 1533-position model. The record is from RNAcentral.